ACGGGAGGCAGCAGUAGGGAAUCUUCCGCAAUGGACGAAAGUCUGACGGAGCAACGCCGCGUGAGCGAUGAAGGUCUUCGGAUCGUAAAGCUCUGUUGUUAGGGAAGAACAAGUACCGUUCGAAUAGGGCGGUACCUUGACGGUACCUAUCGAGAAAGCCACGGCUAACUACGUGCCAGCAGCCGCGGUAAUACGUAGGUGGCAAGCGUUGUCCGGAAUUAUUGGGCGUAAAGCGCGCGCAGGCGGUCCUUUAAGUCUGAUGUGAAAGCCCACGGCUCAACCGUGGAGGGUCAUUGGAAACUGGAGGACUUGAGUGCAGAAGAGGAAAGCGGAAUUCCACGUGUAGCGGUGAAAUGCGUAGAGAUGUGGAGGAACACCAGUGGCGAAGGCGGCUUUCUGGUCUGUAACUGACGCUGAGGCGCGAAAGCGUGGGGAGCAAACAGGAUUAGAUACCCUGGUA
This 460-nucleotide ribosomal RNA is filed under the name uncultured Bacillus sp. RNAcentral describes it as "partial 16S ribosomal RNA". It matches the Rfam family "Bacterial small subunit ribosomal RNA", at positions 341 to 792 of the family's 1533-position model. The record is from RNAcentral. Lineage: Bacteria; Bacillati; Bacillota; Bacilli; Caryophanales; Bacillaceae.